UCGUUCCUACGGGGGGCAGCAGUGAGGAAUAUUGGUCAAUGGGCGCGAGCCUGAACCAGCCACGUCGCGUGAGGGAAGACGGUCCUAUGGAUUGUAACCCUCUUUUGUCGGGGAGCAAAAGACGCCACGCGUGGCGUUCCGAGAGUACCCGAAGAAAAAGCAUCGGCUAACUCCGUGCCCGCAGCCGCGGUAAUACGGAGGAUGCGAGCGUUAUCCGGAUUUAUUGGGUUUAAAGGGUGCGCAGGCGGAAGAUCAAGUCAGCCGUUAAAUU
RNAcentral lists this ribosomal RNA (271 nucleotides) under uncultured bacterium. Its description in RNAcentral is "partial 16S ribosomal RNA". It matches the Rfam family "Bacterial small subunit ribosomal RNA", at positions 333 to 601 of the family's 1533-position model. The record is from RNAcentral.